UGGGGAAUCUUGCGCAAUGGGCGAAAGCCUGACGCAGCAACGCCGCGUGGGGGAUGAAGGCUCUCGGGUUGUAAACCCCUUUCAGCAGGGACGAAUCAAGACGGUACCUGCAGAAGAAGCCCCGGCUAACUACGUGCCAGCAGCCGCGGUAACACGUAGGGGGCAAGCGUUGUCCGGAUUUAUUGGGCGUAAAGAGCUCGUAGGUGGCUAAGUAAGUCGGAUGUUAAAUCCCCAGGCUCAACCUGGGACACCACCCGAUACUGCUUUGGCUAGAGUCCGGUAGGGGAGCAUGGAAUUCCUGGUGUAGCGGUGAAAUGCGCAGAUAUCAGGAGGAACACCAGCGGCGAAGGCGGUGCUCUGGGCCGGAACUGACACUGAGGAGCGAAAGCGUGGGUAGCAAACAG
Molecule: ribosomal RNA, 404 nt
Filed under: uncultured bacterium
Lineage: Bacteria
Description: bacterial SSU rRNA
Rfam family: Bacterial small subunit ribosomal RNA
Source: RNAcentral